This is a long non-coding RNA of Lolium perenne, 1678 nucleotides long. RefSeq lists it as uncharacterized. The record is from RefSeq and is a predicted model, not a curated record. Lineage: Eukaryota; Viridiplantae; Streptophyta; Magnoliopsida; Poales; Poaceae.
GUGCCGAGAGCGGCGAUUCUACCGGCAACGGUAUAUGUCGGAGUCUAAUCCGCCGUCCGUUGUUGAUUUGAGAUUUACGCCUGGUCAACCGUCUUGUUCCUCGAACCAGCAAGGCAAAUUGCAAAAACACCCAAAUAGAACUGGCUCCUACGCAACUCUCUCUCGUUCUAAUUGAGGAUAGAUCUCGAGCAUGCGGCAGCAGCGGCAGCAGCGGCUGGCCGGCCUCCAGAGUCUCCGACGGCGCUAGGGCUUGCUGGACGGCGGUUCCAGGCUCCGUGUAUGCGCUUGCAGUGCAUGCACAUGAUUUGGUGAUGGUAUUGCGACAGCAUGCUUAGUCACCGGUUUAUAAAUGGAGCAGCCUGGGCCACACCGAUGAAAAAAUGCUAAAAUUUGAAUAAAACAGGGCAUUAUCUAUGCUUGCUGAAAGGAUAUGAAGGUCGAGAUCAAGUACUUUGUUUGUGCAUCCCUAGUAAGAAGUUAAUUUAAGUUAUGAAGUGCAGUUAACUUAUGGGCAGCAUGGAUGUAUCUCCUUAUUACCUGCAAAUUUGUCUGAUAACCAAAUCAGGUGGAACGUCAUUUAUAUUUGUCUAGAUAUGUGACUGAUCAUUGUGUCAAUCUAGUUAAUUAAAUGUUUUGACCUGUUGUUAAUGAAUUGUUCAUAUCUUUAUCAUGGUUAUUUUUCCAUAUUUCUCUUUGUAUAUGUACCUGUGUGGUAAUGAUUUGACAUGGAGGUGCGAUGGGCUAUAUGCACGGAAUGGUGCAAAUUAACUCGCUUGCUAACUUAGCUUCGGUAAGCUGCUCAUAUUUCUCAGCGAAUUCCAAGCAGCACAUAUGUAUAUAAAGAUAUCAUCAAUUCCGUACUAGUAACUAUUUAUCUAAUCACCACCAAACUCUAUUUUGCUUUCACUUUGCAGUUAGACUUGACUUUGUAUGUACAUGCUUCCAUUUCUAUUUAAUUUAUCUUGAAAAGAAACAUGGUUCUUUGCAUGGUGAAGAUCCCAUGUUUUAGAUAUAUGUUCUUUGACAUUUUCGUAUGGUGAGUAUUAGAGAAGUACGUACCAGAAUUCACUAUACCAUUCUACUGUUUUUCACCACAUCAAUUCUGAAAUUGGAACUUUGUUUUUGCAGGAAAAAAGAAGGAUUGCUAUAUUGGGAUGUCAGAAUGGUAGAUUAGUUAGAAUAUUAUAUUUUGAAUCAAGGCUGUAAGUUGUAUACUCGUGAGAUAACUUUCAUGCGCUCACAUACACGCGCAUACACUCACCCCUAUGAACGCACACACGCACACACCCUACCCCUAUGAGCACCUCCGGAAGACUGAGCCGGCGGAUUGGAUCUUGAAAUUGACGAAGUCACCAUAGGCGCCUUGCUGUCGACGGGAACGUCGCCUCCCACUGAAAGAAUAUUCCGCCUUUAUGAGACACACAGAUGUCAAACCUGGGGUUUGAACUCUGGUGGGCUGGGGGUACAACCACCCACCUAACCACCCAACCUCAGGUUGGUUCUCAUGUCCAUUCAUAAUCUGCGAUUUGUGUUUUCCCAUAUGUAUCUCAUAAAGUGUAUAUUUUCUUCGUGACAAGAAAUUACUACAUAAUCUGCGAUUUGUGUUUUUUCGUAUGUUUGUCAUAAUUUGUGAUCUGUGUUCAUAUGUAUCUCAUUAUUUAUGAUUGGUGUUUUCUCA